UGAGGAAUAUUGCGCAAUGGACGAAAGUCUGACGCAGCCAUGCCGCGUGCAGGAUUGAAGGCCCUAUGGGUUGUAAACUGCUUUUAUACGGGAAUAAACCUUUCCUCGUGAGGGAAGCUGAAGGUACCGUAAGAAUAAGCACCGGCUAACUCCGUGCCAGCAGCCGCGGUAAUACGGAGGGUGCAAGCGUUAUCCGGAUUUAUUGGGUUUAAAGGGUCCGUAGGCGGACCAUUAAGUCAGUGGUGAAAGCCCAUAGCUCAACUAUGGAAUUGCCAUUGAUACUGGUGGUCUUGAGUACAGUUGAAGUUGGCGGAAUGUGUGGUGUAGCGGUGAAAUGCUUAGAUAUCACACAGAACACCGAUUGCGAAGGCAGCUAACUAAGUUGUAACUGACGCUGAGG
RNAcentral lists this ribosomal RNA (400 nucleotides) under uncultured bacterium. Its description in RNAcentral is "bacterial SSU rRNA". It matches the Rfam family "Bacterial small subunit ribosomal RNA", at positions 355 to 751 of the family's 1533-position model. The record is from RNAcentral.